GAAAGGCGCUUCCGGCGCCGUCAAGAGAUGGGUCCGCCUCCCAUUAGCUAGUUGGUGAGAUAACAGCUCACCAAGGCGACGAUGGGUAGCCGAGCUGAGAGGUUGAUCGGCCACACUGGGACUGAGACACGGCCCAGACACCUACGGGUGGCAGCAGGCGGGAAUCUUGCACAAUGGGCGAAAGCUUGAUGCAGCCAUGCCGCGUGGAGGAUGAAGGCCUUCGGGUCGUAAACUCCUUUUCUAAGGGAAGAACACCCCGGGCAGGAAAUGGUCCGGGCUUGACGGUACCUUAGGAAUAAGCAACGGCUAACUCCGUGCCAGCAGCCGCGGUAAUACGGAGGUUGCAAGCGUUGUUCGGAAUUACUGGGCGUAAAGGGAGCGCAGGCUGUCAAGUCAGUCUGAAGUGAAAGCCCGGGGCUCAAACUCGGAAGUGCUUUGGAUACUGCUUGGCUUGAGUACGUCAGAGGAAAGCGGAAUUCCUGGUGUAGCGGUGAAAUGCGUAGAUUUCCAGGAGGACACCGGUGGCGAAAGCGGUUUCUUGGGACCGUUACUGACGCUGAGGCUCGAAAGCGUGGGGAGCGAACGGGAUUAGAUACCCCGGUAGUCCACGCCGUAAACUUUGUGCACUAAGGUGUGGGAGGCGUCGACCCCUUCCGUGCCGAAGGUAACGCAUUAAGUGCACCGCCUGGGGAGUACGGGCGCAAGGGCUGAAACCUCAAAGGAAUUGACGGUGUCCCGCACAAGCCGGUGGAGCAUGUUCUUUUAUUCGAUGCAACGCGAAGACCCUUACCCAGGGCUUGACAUCCCGCGCUACCCUUGGANACAAGGGGUUCACUUCGGGGACGCGGUGACAGGUGUUGCAUGGCUGUCGUCAGCUCGUGUCGUGAGAUGUUGGGUUAAGUCCCGCAACGAGCGCAACCCUUAUCCCUAGUUACCAGCGGUUCGGCCGGGCACUCUAGGGAGACUGCCGGUGAUAACCGGAGGAAGGUGGGGAUGACGU
Molecule: ribosomal RNA, 1000 nt
Filed under: uncultured organism
Description: bacterial SSU rRNA
Rfam family: Bacterial small subunit ribosomal RNA
Source: RNAcentral